This is a long non-coding RNA of Ochotona princeps (American pika), 506 nucleotides long. RefSeq lists it as uncharacterized. Lineage: Eukaryota; Metazoa; Chordata; Mammalia; Lagomorpha; Ochotonidae. The record is from RefSeq and is a predicted model, not a curated record. The transcript is spliced from 3 exons.
GAGAACACCUCAGGAAGGCAGCCAUCCCAUAAGGCAGGAACAGAACUCUCAUCAGAAAUCAAACCUUGCUGGACCUUGGUCUGGAACUUGCAGCUUUAGAAAUGAGAGAAAUAAGUUGUUGAAGACACUCCACUUGUGAUACUGUGUUAUGAAGCCCAAACGGAUGAAUAGGAGUGCAAUUAGAUUUUGGAUCUACACAGAGGCAGUUGCAACUUGGCAGCAACAGCUUUGUUGAGUAACUGCUGCAGAUCCUGUAUGACCUGUCCCUGGGCCUGCCCGAACUCCAGAGACUGCUCCCUUGAUGGAAAGAUGUGUUUGGCUGUUUUGAUUUUGAAAGGACUAAACAGAACUGUUUUUUAAAACUUCAAAGAAAAUGAUUUUCUAAAUUACUGGAAAUGUGUUGUGAAAUACGCAACAGAUAUAGUAAAUAUUUCAUGAAAAAGAAGGGAAUUAAGACAGGAAGUAAAAAUGUUUCCUUGGCUGUGAAGAAGAUUUAUAUAUUUAAA